GUAGGGUGCAAGCAUUAAUCGGAAUUAUUGGGCGUAAAGGGCGCGUAGGCGGAUUGAUAAGUCAGAUGUGAAAUACCAAAGCUCAACUUUGGUGCUGCAUUUGAAACUGUCUCUCUAGAGGAUUGACGGAGAAAGGGGAAUUCCACGUGUAGCGGUGAAAUGCGUAGAUACGUGGAGGAACACCGGUGGCGAAAGCGCCUUUCUAGUUUAGACCUGACGCUGAGGCGCGAGAGCAAGGGGAGCAAACAGGAUUAGAUACCCUGGUAGUCCUUGUCGUAAACGAUGUGUACUUGAUGUAGUUAGGCUCAACCCUGACUGUGUCGUAGCUAACGCGAUAAGUACACCGCCUGAGGAGUACGCUCGCAAGGGUG
RNAcentral lists this ribosomal RNA (371 nucleotides) under uncultured bacterium. RNAcentral describes it as "bacterial SSU rRNA". It matches the Rfam family "Bacterial small subunit ribosomal RNA", at positions 527 to 896 of the family's 1533-position model. The record is from RNAcentral.